CGAGGAGUGUCUAAAACACAAAGAACUGCUAA
Molecule: transfer RNA, 32 nt
Filed under: Eutropis multifasciata (many-lined sun skink)
Lineage: Eukaryota; Metazoa; Chordata; Lepidosauria; Squamata; Scincidae
Description: partial tRNA-Ser
Source: RNAcentral